This 484-nucleotide ribosomal RNA is filed under the name uncultured bacterium. Its description in RNAcentral is "partial 16S ribosomal RNA". It matches the Rfam family "Bacterial small subunit ribosomal RNA", at positions 30 to 507 of the family's 1533-position model. The record is from RNAcentral.
AUUGAACGCUAGCGGGAUGCUUUACACAUGCAAGUCGAACGGCAGCGCGGACUUCGGUCUGGCGGCGAGUGGCGAACGGGUGAGUAAUGUAUCGGAACGUGCCCAGUAGCGGGGGAUAACUACGCGAAAGCGUAGCUAAUACCGCAUACGCCCUACGGGGGAAAGCAGGGGAUCGUAAGACCUUGCACUAUUGGAGCGGCCGAUAUCGGAUUAGCAAGUUGGUGAGGUAACGGCUCACCAAGGCGACGAUCCGUAGCUGGUUUGAGAGGACGACCAGCCACACUGGGACUGAGACACGGCCCAGACUCCUACGGGAGGCAGCAGUGGGGAAUUUUGGACAAUGGGGGCAACCCUGAUCCAGCCAUCCCGCGUGUGCGAUGAAGGCCUUCGGGUUGUAAAGCACUUUUGGCAGGAAAGAAACGUCGCGGGCUAAUACCCCGUGGAACUGACGGUACCUGCAGAAUAAGCACCGGCUAACUACGUG